RNAcentral lists this long non-coding RNA (421 nucleotides) under Ananas comosus (pineapple). Its description in RNAcentral is "long non-coding RNA (ACOM_LNC013974)". Lineage: Eukaryota; Viridiplantae; Streptophyta; Magnoliopsida; Poales; Bromeliaceae. The record is from RNAcentral.
CAUAGGAUGUGUUUUAUUAUGAUACUUUCCUUAUACAAUCAUGAUUGAUAUCUAUUCCUAGUUGAAACCCUUGUAAUGUUCAUUGUAUUGAUUGCGACGCCUAGGACGUACAGAGAAAACUCUGUCCGUUCGGCGGUCUGUCGACGCGCCCGAACUCGGCCAAAUAGGCGGGGGCCCGAGGCGUGACACAUCCUUUUUUAGGACGUCGUUCGAUUUUGACCGUUCAUUUUAUACCUACUUGAUGAACUUUAUUAUGAUUUCGAAAAUUUACGAAAUUUAUUUUCUAGAAGUUUCAAAUACUCUAAAUCAUAUUUAACGGAGUGGAUCAUCGAUUCGGAAGCUCCAUCAUUAAAAACAACUUAUGAGUACGAAGGCUCCAAUACUCAUAAUAGUAUAGUAGCCAUGGCCUAUGUAAUAAAUU